Molecule: transfer RNA, 69 nt
Filed under: Sus scrofa (pig)
Lineage: Eukaryota; Metazoa; Chordata; Mammalia; Artiodactyla; Suidae
Description: tRNA-Lys
Source: RNAcentral
UCAUUGAGAAGCUAGUCAGCACUAACCUUUUAAGUUAGAGAUCGGGAGCCUAAAUCUCCCCUCAAUGGU